GGAGAGUUGUCUCAUUGGCAUUUAUACCACAUCUUCUUAUAUCCAAUUUAUAAAAAAAGAAGAUGUGGUAUGAUUGCUAAUGAGACAACUAUCC
This 94-nucleotide small RNA is filed under the name Mytilus galloprovincialis (Mediterranean mussel). The record is from RNAcentral. Lineage: Eukaryota; Metazoa; Mollusca; Bivalvia; Mytilida; Mytilidae.